GAAGUGGUGGCCGAGCGGUCUAAGGCGCUGGAUUUAGGCUCCAGUCUGAAAAGGCGUGGGUUCGAAUCCCAUCCACUUCA
This 80-nucleotide transfer RNA is filed under the name Chroomonas mesostigmatica CCMP1168. RNAcentral describes it as "tRNA-Leu". It matches the Rfam family "tRNA". Rfam says of the family: Transfer RNA (tRNA) molecules are approximately 80 nucleotides in length. Their secondary structure includes four short double-helical elements and three loops (D, anti-codon, and T loops). The record is from RNAcentral. Lineage: Eukaryota; Cryptophyceae; Pyrenomonadales; Chroomonadaceae.